CCUACGGGUGGCAGCAGUCGAGAAUCAUUCACAAUGGGGGAAACCCUAAUGGUGCGACGCCGCGUGGGGGAAUGAAGGUCUUCGGAUUGUAAACCCCUGUCAUGUGGGAGCAAAUUAAAAAGAUAGUACCACAAGAGGAAGAGACGGCUAACUCUGUGCCAGCAGCCGCGGUAAUACAGAGGUCUCAAGCGUUGUUCGGAAUCACUGGGCGUAAAGCGUGCGUAGGCUGUUUCGUAAGUCGUGUGUGAAAGGCGCGGGCUCAACCCGCGGACGGCACAUGAUACUGCGAGACUAGAGUAAGGGAGGGGGAACCGGAAUUCUCGGUGUAGCAGUGAAAUGCGUAGAUAUCGAGAGGAACACUCGUGGCGAAGGCGGGUUCCUGGACAUUAACUGACGCUGAGGCACGAAGGCCAGGGGAGCGAAAGGGAUUAGAUACCCUAGUAGUC
This 446-nucleotide ribosomal RNA is filed under the name uncultured bacterium. RNAcentral describes it as "partial 16S ribosomal RNA". It matches the Rfam family "Bacterial small subunit ribosomal RNA", at positions 338 to 795 of the family's 1533-position model. The record is from RNAcentral.